AUUGAACGCUGGCGGCAGGCCUAACACAUGCAAGUCGAACGGUAACAGGAAACAGCUUGCUGUUUCGCUGACGAGUGGCGGACGGGUGAGUCAUGUCUGGGCAACUGCCUGAUGGAGGGGGAUAACUACUGGAAACGGUAGCUAAUACCGCAUAACGUCGCAAGACCAAAGAGGGGUACCUUCGGGCCUCGUGCCAUCGGAUGUGCCCAGAUGGGCUUCGCUAGGAGGUGGGGUAACGGCUCACCUAGGCGACGAUCCCUAGCUGGUCUGAGAGGAUGACCAGCCACACUGGAACUGAGACACGGUCCAGACUCCUACGGGAGGCAGCAGUGGGGAAUAUUGCACAAUGGGCGCAAGCCUGAUGCAGCCAUGCCGCGUGUAUGAAGAAGGCCUUCGGGUUGUAAAGUACUUUCAGCGGGGAUGAAGGGAGUAAAGUUAAUACCUUGGCUCAUUGACGUUACCCGCAGAAGAAGCACCGGCUAACUCCGUG
This 490-nucleotide ribosomal RNA is filed under the name uncultured bacterium. Its description in RNAcentral is "partial 16S ribosomal RNA". It matches the Rfam family "Bacterial small subunit ribosomal RNA", at positions 30 to 507 of the family's 1533-position model. The record is from RNAcentral.